Molecule: ribosomal RNA, 119 nt
Filed under: Ananas comosus (pineapple)
Lineage: Eukaryota; Viridiplantae; Streptophyta; Magnoliopsida; Poales; Bromeliaceae
Source: RNAcentral
GUCAAAAACGACACUUUCGGGAACCCACCGGAUCCCAUCAGAAAUCCGCAGUUAAGCGUGCUGGGACGAGAGUAGUCCUAGGAUAGGUGACCCCCUGGGAAGUUAGGGCGUCACAGAUG